UGAAAUCGAAGUGCCAGACGUUGACCAG
This 28-nucleotide small RNA is filed under the name Bombyx mori (domestic silkworm). RNAcentral describes it as "ovarian small RNA-7886". Lineage: Eukaryota; Metazoa; Arthropoda; Insecta; Lepidoptera; Bombycidae. The record is from RNAcentral.